GGAUGUAGCUCAGCUGGGAGAGCAAUAGCUUUGCAAGCUGUGUGUCGCUGUUUCAAAGAGCUAUGUCCA
This 69-nucleotide transfer RNA is filed under the name Coriobacteriales bacterium. Its description in RNAcentral is "tRNA-Ala". The record is from RNAcentral. Lineage: Bacteria; Bacillati; Actinomycetota; Coriobacteriia; Coriobacteriales.